UUUGACCACUACACCUCCCCACCCCCACUCAGACGCCCAACGCUCCCCCAGUUCCUUGUGGUCCGUCCUGCCUUCAUCAAAACGCUGGCCAGGUGUGGUCAGUGAUGGGCAGGAGUCACUCCGCUGCCACCUGCUCGCCUCUGGGCGUGGGAGUGGUGUUAGGGAACUGCGCUUGCCGUUCCAAACUCGGGCUUUAAACGUCUCGACUAGCCGUUGGAUCGUGUUUUUCUCACCUGUAAAGCGGAGACGCUCCUACCUCUUAGGGAGUAGGCUGGUGGUCAGCUAAGACUUCGACCUUCUGACUGCCUAUCAACUUAAAUUCUUGGACACAGAAGCAAAGCACCAUGCAAGAAUGCAGUGACAUCUCAAAGGACCCCAAAUCUAAAUCCUGCUUUCCCCCUCAAGACAGCACACGAAGCUUCACUCUGAUGAAACCAGGUUUGCACCAAAGUCCCAGAAACCCUCUAAGGCCAAGCAACGUGUGACAGGACCCAGUUCCUGGAGUGGGCUGGCCAUGAAGCUGAGGGGAAGGCAGAGUUGCUACAGGAUGUUGUUACAGGUGCUGGAACACAAGCCAUCUCCUGAGGGAAGCUACAGCACAGAAGUGGAGGCCACUGGAAGACAGGCCAGAAAUGCCACAGGGGACAGAGCUGUGGAGCAGGGCUCCCCAAGUCCACUGGAGCACAUGAAAUCCUACCAUGACUAGUCAGUCACUAGACACAAACUGCAGGCUUUGGUGUUUAGGAUUCCAGUUUGCUUUGAGAUGAUCUUUCUGAAGUAUGGAAAGUGAUUCUCAACCUUCCUAACGCUUCAACCCUUUAGUACAGUUUCUUACACGGUGGUGACCCGCAACCAUAAAACUGUUUGUUGCUACUGUAAUUUUCCUAGUGAUGAACUGUGAUGUAAAUACCUGACAUGCAGGAAAUCUGAUGUGUGACCCCUGUGAAAAGGUCAUGUGAACCCCAGGUUGUGAGCUGCCGUCCCAUACUGACAUCCAAAUGUUUACUCUGCCACUGUAUACUUUGGGGGAAGUAACUUGUUUCUGAUUUUGCAGGAGCUCACUGUUAAGAGACUGCCUUGAAUUUCAGAGGAAACUUUGAUUUUGUAAACAGUUUUGAAACUGCAAGACUAUGGGGACCUUUGAAGUCAGAUAAAAACAUUUUGUAUUAUGAGAAGACUGUGAACCUAUGGGGUCAGGGGUAGAAAGUGAUGGUUGGAAGUAACAGUUUGUUCCCUAUAGGCUCAAGUGUUUUGAAGACUUGGUUCUCAACCCUGGUGUUAUUUUAGACAGUUAUGGGACUUUUAAGAGGUAGGUCUUGGGGCUGGAGAGAUAG
This is a long non-coding RNA of Mus caroli (Ryukyu mouse), 1334 nucleotides long. RefSeq lists it as uncharacterized. The record is from RefSeq and is a predicted model, not a curated record. NCBI's taxonomy places the organism in Eukaryota, Metazoa, Chordata, Mammalia, Rodentia, Muridae.